UGGUGAUCUGAUUGAUCGUGGAGAAAAGCCGAUUCUUCUUCUAAAGAGCACCUUUAAUUUGAAUGUGAUACACUUAGACCUAGUAGAGCGACAUUUAAUGAUAACCCUACAGUUUUGAUAAAAAGUCUUUAAAUACGAACAUCAAAUUCCAAUUAUAGCAGUUAUCAACAUGACUAAACUACUAUACCUAGUGUUCAUACUAUCGAUCUUCCAUUUUUCUGCAGCCAACAACCAACAAGACUGCUUAAAAGAGACAGACACCGCUUACGAAAACUUACACAAGGCUUUUGAUGAAUUUCAAAUCUCUAUCGAAAUCUGACACUGACCGAGACUGCGAGAAAUGAAAUAGCCAGGCUGGCCCAAUCUGGCAUCUUUAACUUAAAUUUUGAAGGAAAUGAACAAGUAGACGCCAUUCGUCUGGUAAACAACAUUAAACAGGGAUUUUUGGUAUUACUUUUGCUGAUAGAGAAAAAGGUAAAGACAUUUUGGAAAUCAUCAUGGAAUAAACUGUGUUUGUUAUACGCGAGUACAGGUUAAUAUACAGUGUGUCUAUUUGA
Molecule: long non-coding RNA, 557 nt
Organism: Photinus pyralis (common eastern firefly)
Lineage: Eukaryota; Metazoa; Arthropoda; Insecta; Coleoptera; Lampyridae
Exons: 2
Source: RefSeq, a predicted model, not a curated record